RNAcentral lists this ribosomal RNA (638 nucleotides) under uncultured Methanosaeta sp. RNAcentral describes it as "bacterial SSU rRNA". It matches the Rfam family "Archaeal small subunit ribosomal RNA", at positions 83 to 725 of the family's 1478-position model. Lineage: Archaea; Methanobacteriati; Methanobacteriota; Methanomicrobia; Methanotrichales; Methanotrichaceae. The record is from RNAcentral.
CGGCUCAGUAACACGUGGAUAACCUACCCUUGAGACGGGGAUAAACCCGGGAAACUGGGUAUAAUACCCGAUAGAUCUCGACUGCUGGAAUGCAUCGAGCUUGAAAGCUCCGGCGCUCAAGGAUGGGUCUGCGGCCUAUCAGGUAGUAGUGGGUGUAGCGUACCUACUAGCCUACGACGGGUACGGGUUGUGAGAGCAAGAGCCCGGAGAUGGAUUCUGAGACACGAAUCCAGGCCCUACGGGGUGCAGCAGGCGCGAAAACUUUACAAUGCUGGAAACAGCGAUAAGGGGACCUCGAGUGCCAGGUUACAAAUCUGGCUGUCGUGAUGCCUAAAAAGCAUUGCAUAGCAAGGGCCGGGCAAGACCGGUGCCAGCCGCCGCGGUAACACCGGCGGCUCGAGUGGUAACCGUUAUUAUUGGGUCUAAAGGGUCUGUAGCCGGCCGGAUAAGUCUCUUGGGAAAUCUGGCAGCUUAACUGUCAGGCUUUCAGGAGAUACUGUCUGGCUCGAGGCCGGGAGAGGUGAGAGGUACUUCAGGGGUAGGGGUGAAAUCUUGUAAUCUUUGAAGGACCACCAGUGGCGAAGGCGUCUCACCAGAACGGACCUGACGGCAAGGGACGAAAGCUAGGGGCACGAACC